Molecule: long non-coding RNA, 5256 nt
Filed under: Sus scrofa (pig)
Lineage: Eukaryota; Metazoa; Chordata; Mammalia; Artiodactyla; Suidae
Description: lncRNA (ENSSSCG00000059294.1)
Source: RNAcentral
UUAACUUAGCAGCUGAAUGUGUUAUAUAGUUUUUGUACUAUUUCCAAAAUUGUAAAGAUUACUUUAGAGACAAUGGAAAAUUUGGGCUUUACUUUUGAAGUAAAUGGAAAACAGGUAUUUUCAAACAUUGAAGUUCACAUUUUUUUUUUUUUUUUUUUUUUUGCAGUCAAUGCUCACUUCUUGGGUUGAUACUUUAUUAACAACAAAUCAAUUUGCCAUUUAUUAGGGAAGCAUUGUAGAGAAAUCUUUUUGCAUUCUUGACUACAAAUCAUGGUGAUGCAGAAAUUUUUAUAGAUCUACUAUCAUAUUCCCCAAAAUGGUGGUCUCACCACCAUUUAAUACCUAACCCUGCAUAAGUGGGCACCUUAUGUAUCCAACUUACUCUUCCAUUUUAAUACAAUUUUUAAAAUUAUGCAGUCAUCUUUUUUUUAAAGUUACUCCUAAAAAUCUGUGGAUUUAUCAAUAUAAUUUUAUUUUUUUAAUGGAAGUGAUGAAAGGAACUAUGACAAUUAAGAAAAUAAUUAGGAAAAAACCUCCAACAAUUUCUACUGUGAGGAGAAUUCCCUCUCUGCCUUCUAAGGAUCUGGGAUAUAAGAAAGAUGCUUUGCUGUGCUGAGUGGGGAGACUGUAUUGGACUAUGGAGGCUAAGUGGAGGAGCUAAAUGUGGAACACACUUGUUUAUAUAAAAAAAGAGAAUUUUCAUGACCCAGUAGCAGAACUCCAGAAAGGAGGGAUGAGAUAGGACGAGAGAGGCAGGAAGAAAAGAGGAGGGGAGAGGUUAUGGGUAGACUGGGUGGAAAGCAAGAGAGAGAGACAGAGAGAAAGAGAGACAGAGACAUGGAAAAAAUUUAAUGAACUAAACCUCAAUUAAAUAGAGUUGGGUGACCAGAAGGUGGCGCUCUCACACCCUGCAAAGAUGAUGGAGCCCAAUGGGAAGGACUCUUCUUUGCUUGCAGUGGCUCAGCCAAUGAAAAGCCAUGGAUCCUUAUUCUAGCCCACCCGGCUUUCCCCUGUAUAAAAGGGUUCUCCUUCCUUUGCCUUGUGGAGAUAUAAGUUGAUUACUGUGUUUGCAGACCCUGGACUGCAAUUCUUUACUAAUCCUGACUAAACAGCCCCCAUUUUUUUUCUUUCCUUUUUCUUUCUUUUUUUCCCAAGGAAUAACUGACAGUCUAUUUGGUAUAGGUCAAAAAACAGAAAGAGAUCGACAGAGAGAGAUAGAGAGAGACAGAGAUAAGUGGGUACAGAGAAAGCAUGAGAGAGAGUCCGAAGAAUAGCUACUAAGAAGAGGAAAUGAAAGGAAAAAGAGGGUAAAAUGGAAUAUUUAUGUGGUUUUGCUUGAUGAAUGACAAGUAAUAUCACUUCUCUGUUUACUUAGGGAAACUUUACUAUAUUUUACAUAAUCAGCACUGCUCAUGCACUUGAAUCUGUGGUCUGUGGAUAUGAAAACAUUAAAAAAGAAUAUACAUAUAUAUUUAUGACUGAGUCACUUUGCUGUAUAGCAGAAAUUGGCACAAUAUUGUAAAUCAACUAUACUUUAAUAAAAAUAAAAAAUUAGUUAAUUAAUUAAAAAUAAAUAUGAAAAUUCUCUUGAGAUUUCUCUUAAGGAAGACACAAGAAAAAGCUGGAGUCACCAAAUGAUCCAGUUACUAAAAGUCUGUAUAAGUUAUAUAUGAGCCAGUCCAGAGACAUAGCAUUUACUUUUCUUCGUAUAGUAGAAUAGAUAUACUUUUGAUAUUUAGGAUAAAGCCAGAUAGCCCCAAACAUCUCUUCACCAUUAUGCAUCCAGUGAUAAAAGAAGUACCAAAACAAUGAAAUUGAUUUUUCCUUGAUAUAAGGGUCUGGCACACAGCAGGUACAUAACAAAAUAUUUGUUGAAGGAAUGAACACACAAAUGGAUUUUUUCCGAACAUGUAGUUUUUUGUUCUUGUUUAAUAUUAUUAUUACUUCAAUAAAAUGUCUUGGGACCUUUUGGAAGACUCAGGAUUCCAGACAUGAUUUUUCAGUUUUAUUUGGCUUUAAAAUCUGACAUCGUAAUGGGUGCUGCUACUGCUGCACUUCAGAUCACUUAAUUUCUGGAAAUAAAUUCAGUGAACAGUCUCUGUGGAGAGCACAGCAAUGCAACGGAAACUCUAACGUCCUAUAAUGAAACCUAAUGAAAAAUCUCUGGGCUAGAUUAGACGGUGAUCUGAUGUGAGGCCAAGCAAAAGAGAACACUUAAGCGAAGUCCAUGGAGUUGAAAUUACACUUUGUAGACAUGCAGGCAGGUCGUGUGAGGCACUGAAACUGACUACCAAGACACCAGCAGUGCUAUCUGCAUUUUUUUAAACCUCCCUAGAGACUGGCUGUGAAAGCCAGCUACUUUUAGAGAGAUGUCAGCGUGCACUACUAGAGAUGUGUUUUGUGCAUCCAGCAUCAGGAUGUGUGGUCUGACAGCCGUGGGUGUAUUUGUCUGGACAGUGGCUCUGAGUUUGAAAUAGGACCUGUCGUGUACUAGAGUGUGGUCUUACAAUUCCUGUGGAUCAGAAGAUAGACUCAGAAAGGAAUGAGGAGGAAAAUGGGAGGAAGGUCUGGGGAGAGCAAAACAUUAAGUUCUGAGGGAAAUUAAAGAGACGUUUUGGAAUAUGUCCAAGAAAAAAAUAUCAAAGAAUGCUGGUGACGUUUCUAUCAGGUCUCUGGGCAUCUCUCACCAUCCAAAUCCUUAGGACACUGAACUGGGUAUGAAAGUAAUACAUUUAUGUGAAACAUAAAUUUACAAUGCAAAACAGUCAACCAAGCCAACUAAAUGUGUUUCAGACUCUCUGGACAACUCAUUCCCAGUAUCAAAAUAAUAGGAAAACACCUUAAUCCUCAGUAUAUUGAUUGGUAACCCAAUGAUCAAGGCAAGGAAACUGGAAGGAUUUCUUGGAUCAUUUCAUUCAUUUAAUCAGAAUUUGUAUUUUAUAAUACAAACAUGAGCCUGUGGUAGGGAUUGUUGGGGAUACCCGAAAAGUGGAAAUGCAGCUGUUUCCCAGUUUCUGCAAAGCUUUAUUUUUGAGACCAAACACUCAUAAUAAAACUAGAGAGGCAGUCCAGGUUUGUAGCAACAUGGGCAAAUCUAGCUUCCAUCCCUAGCUCCUCUGGGUUUCUGACCUAGGUGGCAGCGGACAAGCCACUCAACUUCUCUUUACCUAACUCUCUCACCUUUGUGAUGGAGAUGCUGAAAGGUGUCCAAAGGAGUGCUUGGAGAAAACAGAAAUUUUCUGUAUUCCUGGUGCAUAUUAAUGACUGAUAGUUUUUUUUUUUUAAUUAUUGGAGCAUAGUUGACUUAACAAUAUUGUAUUAGUUUCAGGGGUACACCAAAGUGAGUGGAUACACAUAUAUCCAUUCCUUUUCAGAUUAUUUUCCCACCUAGGUUACUGCACAGUAUUGAGUAGAUUGCCCUGUGCUACACAGUAGGCCCUUGUUACUUAUCUAUUUUAUAUAAUAGUGUGUAUAUGUCAGUCCCAACCUCCUAAUUUCUCCUUCCCCAAACAUUUCUCCUUUGCUUUGUUCAUAAUCUUUGGUUUCAAAAUCGUUGAUGACUGAUAGACUUUUUUUUUUUUUAACUCAAUAUUGCUUUAAUGUUCUGUGCACAUAGGAAAUAGUUUAGCAUAAGCUUGGAUCAAGGAACAGAUUCGGUGUCUUAAUUAUAUAGUAAUUGGGUCAACUUUCAUAAAAGGGAAAAUAUACUUUACAGUAGGAGGUAAUUUUUAAAAAGCAAAAGGAACAGCAAACAGAGUUGUAUGGUUAUUUAGUGUGCCAGUGGUCACACUCCAGAAUCAGGCAGCCUGGCUUUGACUUCUGGAUUCACAUCCCCAUUGGUAAAAUGGGAUAAUAGCAGUAUGAACCUCAUAAGUCUGUAGUGAUAAUAUAUAUGAUAUGUUUAGAGCUGAGCCUGGUACAUAGUGAGCAUUUGAUAACAGCUCAUGGAUUAGUAGGCAUAUUCUGAAAGCUUUAAGCCUGGUAGUUUCCUCUGAGAAGUCUCUUGCCCUCAGACUAGGUCAGAUUUCCCUGUUAAUGGCUCUCACAGACACCUGUGUUUAUCUUUUCCUGUGUUCACCCCAAUUCAAAAAGUUCAAAAAAUUAUUGGCAUAAAUAUGAACUUUAUGAUUGGCUUCUUCCAAUCCAGUAAACUCCCUGUGGGCAGGUCUUCUCUGUCUGAACAUCAGCAGCAUUUCUCCAGGGUAAGCCCAGCCUCCAGCACUUGGUAGGCAUUCACAUAUGCAUUGAAUAAUGGAAUGAAUGCAGCGAAAAGGUAAAUGGCUGUCUCCAAGGGCCAGUUUUUUUUUAAUGUGUAAUUUAGCUUUAAUUUUUCCAUUUCAUCACAAGCAUUUUCCUAUUCAAAAUGUGUAUGUAACAUGGUUUGCACAGCAGUACAGAAUAUUUCAUUAGCAGGCUGAGAAGAAGGAGAAAAAGGAGACCAUUUACAUGUAAAUGUAUGCUUAACUCAGCCCCAGAUGGAGAACACCCAAAGGGUACUUGCUGGCUUCCUUAGAUAGUAAUUGGAAGCCUAAUGCAGAAUAGGUUAAUUGUAGGGUAGUGGCAAGAUGCGUGCUGGGCUGUGCAAAAUAGCAGAGGGGAGACGGACAACCGGGCUCCACUGGCUCCAGAAUAAAGUACUCCUGAAACAUCCACUUCCUUUGGCUUUAGCAUGUCAUUAGUCAAGGGGAACUUGGAAGAAAUGGAAACGUUCCUCUAGAUGUAUAAAAAUAAACCUUUCUCUGACCCACACAGUUAUUUCACUAAGUGCAACCUGGGCUGUCUCCUUGGUCUUAAUUGAAACUCUUGAACUUCAUGAGCACAUCUGGGGCAAGGACUAGGUGCUUUUUUUUUUUCUCCCUCCCUUGUUCAUGCUAAUGUCUGCAAGAUAGCUGGCUUCCAAAACCAAUACCACCAAUACUACAGUAAUAUUUACCAAUAGCGUACUUAAACUUCAGUUUACACUCGUGCAGAAUCAGGAGUGAAAAUAGAAUCUAGCUCAGGGUUAAAAGAAGAUUAGAUAAGGGGAGUUCCCAUGGUGGCGCAGUGGUUACGGAAUCGACUAGGAACCAUGAGGUUGUGGGUUUGAUCCCUGGUCUUGCUCAGUGGGUUAAGGAUCCGGGGUUGCCGUGAGCUGUGGUGUAGGUCAUAGAUGUGGCUUGGAUCCUGCGUUGCUGUGGCUCUGGCGUAGGCUGGUGGCUACAGCUCCGAUUAGACCCCUAGCCUGGGAACCUCCAUAUGUGGCAGGAGCGGCCCUAG